UGGGUUGUGGCUCAGUGGUAGAGCACUUGCCUAGCUUGUGUGAGGCACUGGGUUCAAUCCUCAGCACCGCAU
Ictidomys tridecemlineatus (thirteen-lined ground squirrel) is the source of this 72-nucleotide non-coding RNA. NCBI's taxonomy places the organism in Eukaryota, Metazoa, Chordata, Mammalia, Rodentia, Sciuridae. The record is from Rfam.